RNAcentral lists this ribosomal RNA (465 nucleotides) under uncultured bacterium. RNAcentral describes it as "partial 16S ribosomal RNA". It matches the Rfam family "Bacterial small subunit ribosomal RNA", at positions 338 to 795 of the family's 1533-position model. The record is from RNAcentral.
CCUACGGGUGGCAGCAGUGGGGAAUAUUGCGCAAUGGGCGAAAGCCUGACGCAGCGACGCCGCGUGAGGGAUGAAGGACUUCGGAUCGUAAACCUCUGUCAGCAGGGAAGAACGGUAACUGUGCUAAUCAGCAGUGCAUUGACGGUACCUGCAAAGGAAGCACCGGCUAACGCCGUGCCAGAAGCCGCGGCAAUAUGGAGGGGGCGAGCGUGAAUCGGAAUUACUGGGCGUAAAGGGCGCGUAGGCGGUAGGUCAAGUCAAGGGUGAAAUCCCAGCGCUCAACAGGGGAACUGCCUUGGAAACUGGCAAACUGGAGUGUAGGAGAGGUAAGUGGAAUUCCAGGUGUAGGGGUGAAAUGCGUAGAUAUCAGGAGGAACAUCAGUGGCGAAGGCGGCUAUCUGGCACGUAACUGACGCUGAGGAGCGAAAGCGUGGGUAGCAAACAGGAUUAGAUACCCGUGUAGUC